This 20-nucleotide non-coding RNA is filed under the name Arabidopsis thaliana (thale cress). The record is from RNAcentral. Lineage: Eukaryota; Viridiplantae; Streptophyta; Magnoliopsida; Brassicales; Brassicaceae.
UGGUAUCACUAUUGCCAUGU